Long non-coding RNA from Homarus americanus (American lobster), 953 nucleotides. RefSeq lists it as uncharacterized. NCBI's taxonomy places the organism in Eukaryota, Metazoa, Arthropoda, Malacostraca, Decapoda, Nephropidae. The transcript has 3 exons. The record is from RefSeq and is a predicted model, not a curated record.
GUGUGGCCCAUCGUGGCGUAUCUCCCCCACACUGUGUGGGGGGAGAUACGCCACGAGAUAUGGUUUAACCAGUAGUAGUACUGUAGUGGUCUGGAAUAUGGAUUACCUACAGUUCUUGCGUUCAGUUUUUUCCUAUACUAGAUAUAAUCGAAAUACAUGCAGCACUUGGCAACUACAACAAACAUUUUAGUUGGCCUCAAUUUCUUCGUAUCUUGUGUAAAACAUUCAUGGAGUGUUACCUAACCAAUUCGUCGGCGAAAACGCGUUUGUUUUAGGGAAUAUUACUAACCAAUUAUAAAGACGUUUAUAAUGUGUACACGUGUCUCAAGUAAAGUACUGUAUACUUGACUGAUUAAAACAGCCAUGACUUGUGACGCAGACACAAUACUGUAUACAGCGAUAAACUUAGCCUAACUUACCUAAGGUAAAGUAAGGUCAAUGCUGUAUCAUGGUGACUUAACAUUACCACAGCAAUGCUGUGGUUGCACGUUGAUUUUAAGGACUUUAAAUUGAAGAAUGAUUCCUUCUUCAACCUGAUGAUGGCCACCUGUAUCAGCAGCAGACACGAGCACUGUUGGACAAUCAGCAUGACCAUCUUUCCUGAGAAUGAACUGGAGAUGUGAGACGUUCCCGCCCUCCAUGCGUCUUGAUGCUACCCUUAGAGGCUGUUAAGUAGGUCGGGUCAUUGGUAGUGGUGGACGGCGACAGGAAACAUUUAGCUUUCUCAUCUCGUGUUUGUUUCAACCCAUGGUGACGACACAGCCUAAACCCAUGAAGAGUGACAAUAAUGGUCAAGAACAUGAAAACAAUAGUUGUGUGACUUCUGAUGACUUUUAAUCAGCUAUGAGUCUUGAUAGUAAAACUGGUUACCUGUUGAAUAAAAAGUUUAAUUGCUAAUGAAUAUUUUCCCUUUUUACAAUAUUAUCUUGAAUUGGUAAUGAAACAAGUUCUUC